UACGGAGGGUGCGAGCGUUAAUCGGAAUUACUGGGCGUAAAGCGCACGCAGGCGGUUUGUUAAGCUAGAUGUGAAAGCCCCGGGCUCAACCUGGGAUGGUCAUUUAGAACUGGCAGACUAGAGUCUUGGAGGGGGGAGUGGAAUUCCAGGUGUAGCGGUGAAAUGCGUAGAUAUCUGGAGGAACAUCAGUGGCGAAGGCGACUCCCUGCCAAAGACUGACGCUCAUGUGCGAAAGUGUGGGUAGCGAACAGG
RNAcentral lists this ribosomal RNA (252 nucleotides) under uncultured bacterium. RNAcentral describes it as "partial 16S ribosomal RNA". It matches the Rfam family "Bacterial small subunit ribosomal RNA", at positions 524 to 776 of the family's 1533-position model. The record is from RNAcentral.